This 119-nucleotide ribosomal RNA is filed under the name Terrapene triunguis (Three-toed box turtle). The record is from RNAcentral. Lineage: Eukaryota; Metazoa; Chordata; Testudines; Emydidae.
ACACACGGCCAUGCCACCCUGAACACGCCCGAUCUCGUCUGAUCUCGGAAGCUAAGCAGGGUCGGGCCUGGUUAGUACUUGGAUGGGAGACCUCCUGGGAAUACUAGGUGCUGUAGGCU